GUGUAAUUUCAAUAUGUUCACUUUACUAAUUUGUUUUAUAUUGUGAUGACAAUGUGUUAAUUUUGCUCAAUUGUUCAUAUUGUCAUGACAAUGUGUUUACUCUGUUCAAUUGUACAUAUCAUCAUGCCGAUGUAUUUAACAGAAAAUCUGCGAUCGUCUUGGAAUAGAACAAGGCAAAGUUGUUACCAAACUAUUUAGCAACGGUGAAUGCAGGUGAUUAUGAGCGAUUUUAUCAUUAUUUUGUAUCCAUGCCCAUGGGGCACCAACAGGCUAUUUGACCUGAAUAGUGACAUUGUUUAAUUAACUCAAUUAUCCAUAUCGUCUUAUCAACAUAUUAAUUGUGCUUAAUUGUUUAUAUUGCCAUUACAUACAUGUUUACGUACGCAAUCAUUUAUAUUAUUAUGUUGAUGUUUUUACUUUUCUCAAUUAUUCAUAUUGUUCUGCUAUAAGGAUGUUCUUACCUCAGGAAUAGAUUACAUUAGCCGUAUUUGAAAUAUUUUUUUGUUUUUUUGGGUCCUCAAUGCUAUUCAACUUUGUACUUUUUGGCUUUAUAACUAUUUUGAUCUGAGCGUCACUGGCGAGUCUUAUCUAGACGAAAUGCGCGUCUGGCAUAUUAAAUCAUAACCCUGGUACCUUUGAUUAACUAUUUACCUAACACAUAAUUUCAUUUUGCAAUGUUUUACUGCAAUAAAAUGUAGGAGUUAAUACCUACAACUGUCAAAUUUAAGAAAUAUUUUUGUUCUAUUCUUUUUCGUAUGCAACGAUAUGUGACGUACUGUGAUUUGGUGGUAUAACACAUUAAUUUCACUAAAAUAUUUCAUGUACAACGAGAGUUCAUUCAUGCAUAGCAUUUUAUUAUGUAUGGAAAGCCAUAUACUAUAUAAACAAAAAAUAGAAGGGAAUAUGUUGGUUUGUCAUUAGGAGGAGAAGGGCUGAGUAUGCUUUUAGUAACGAAUAGCUAAUGUGAAAUGUUGGUUAUUUAAACCGAGCACUCAUUUCUGUAGUUUACCUUAAUAUUGUAUAUCCAAAUUAAAACACAUUCUUUCACAUCAUUUUUUUAAUUUUUCCAACUAAGGAUAGUCUGCCCCGAGGAGAGAUUGAAUAAUACUUUUGGUCAAGAAUGUUCUUCACCUUCACCAUAGAAACUUGCGCGAAUAACAAAAUAAACCAAAUGACUUCAAUUGUUUUAGUUCACAGUGCACUUCUUAUCAAUAGAUUAAUUGUCCUUAAUUCGAUACAUUAAAGAAACAAUCAACAUAUAUUGUUAUCCUUAUCGUUAAAUUAAAUUGUAUUUGAGAACAUGACCACAAAUCACAUUAAAUCAUACCAUAAUGACAUGCAGACA
RNAcentral lists this long non-coding RNA (1345 nucleotides) under Mytilus galloprovincialis (Mediterranean mussel). The record is from RNAcentral. Lineage: Eukaryota; Metazoa; Mollusca; Bivalvia; Mytilida; Mytilidae.